UUUAGUGGCGCACGGGUGAGUAACACGUGAAUUAUCUACCUCCGAGUGGGGAAUAACUGAGAGAAAUCUUAGCUAAUACCGCAUAACACUUACGAGUCAAAGCAGUAAUGCGCUUGGAGAGGAGUUCGCGGCCGAUUAGUUAGUUGGCGGGGUAAUGGCCCACCAAGACGAUGAUCGGUAUCCGGCCUGAGAGGGCGCACGGACACACUGGAACUGAAACACGGUCCAG
RNAcentral lists this ribosomal RNA (229 nucleotides) under uncultured bacterium. RNAcentral describes it as "partial 16S ribosomal RNA". It matches the Rfam family "Bacterial small subunit ribosomal RNA", at positions 91 to 334 of the family's 1533-position model. The record is from RNAcentral.